GAUGAACGCUGGCGGCGUGCCUAAUACAUGCAAGUCGAGCGAACAGACGAGGAGCUUGCUCCUCUGACGUUAGCGGCGGACGGGUGAGUAACACGUGGAUAACCUACCUAUAAGACUGGGAUAACUUCGGGAAACCGGAGCUAAUACCGGAUAAUAUAUUGAACCGCAUGGUUCAAUAGUGAAAGACGGUUUUGCUGUCACUUAUAGAUGGAUCCGCGCCGGAUUAGCUAGUUGGUAAGGUAACGGCUUACCAAGGCAACGAUGCGUAGCCGACCUGAGAGGGUGAUCGGCCACACUGGAACUGAGACACGGUCCAGACUCCUACGGGAGGCAGCAGUGGGGAAUCUUCCGCAACGGGCGAAAGCUUGACGGAGCAACGCCGCGUGAGUGAUGAAGGUCUUCGGAUCGUAAAACUCUGUUAUUAGGGAAGAACAAAUGUGUAAGUAACUAUGCACGUCUUGACGGUACCUAAUCAGAAAGCCACGGCUAACUACGUG
Molecule: ribosomal RNA, 497 nt
Filed under: uncultured bacterium
Lineage: Bacteria
Description: partial 16S ribosomal RNA
Rfam family: Bacterial small subunit ribosomal RNA
Source: RNAcentral